AUGACGGUCGGCCAUCUCGCCAACGACGCCGUCCUCGGAGGCCACGACGGCACGUGGGAGACAAUAUUGAAAUAUUCUUCUGAAGCCGCAGUUGACACCUAUGAAGAAAUAGCUAUUAUCAUACCAAGAGGACGACGUACUGUUGAGCUUCAUCUUUCAUUUCUGCGACUCCAUGGACAAGCUGAUGAUAUUAAAAUCCAAUAUAGCAGCAUCAUUCGCCUUUUUGUUUUACCAAAGCCAAACAGUCCCCAUACCUUUGCGGUUGUCACUCUUGAUCCGCCAAUCCGUAAAGGCAGAACAUUGUACCCUCACAUUGUCAUUCAGUUUAUGACAGAGGUAAUAGUCAAAACAGAUUUGAAUUUAAGCAGAGAUCUUCUGGCCGGAAAAUACAAAGAUAAGUUGGAGGAAUCUUAUAUGGGUCCAAUACAUGAGGUAUUCACCAAAGUCCUUUGUGGCCUAUCUGGUGCCAAAGUCACAAGGCCGGGUUCUUACAGAACUUGCCAAGGUGAAUAUGCAGUUAAAACAUCUCUGAAAUCUGAACAUAGACUGCUGUAUCCACUUGGAAAAGGUUUCUUCUUUCUGCCAGAGCCCCCUAUGCUCAUCCUUUAUGAAGAGGUUGAGUUUGUUGGGUUUGGAAGUUACCGCCGUGAGGGCGCCGGUAAAUCAGAUUGCUAUUUGGACCUCCUUGUCAAGCGAAAAAAUGGCCAAGAGCAUAUCUUCAGAAAUAUUCAAAGGAAUGAAUACUUUAACCUUUUCAACUUCAUCAAUGGAAAGCAGUUGAAAACAAUGAACCUUGGGGACGAGCAAAGUGAUGAGGAUGAAGAUUUUGGUUCCUUUAUGGGUGGCGGAGGAUCUUCUACUGAUGAUGAUUCUAGCGGGGACGAAUCAGAAUCUAGUGAAAGUGGGGGUGAAAAGGAGGGAGCCAGUAGUGGCGGCGGAGGUUCGAAGAAAAGGAAGUGGAAGAAGAAACACGCGACGUACCGUUGGCACAGGAUGAGCUGGCGAGGGUUCCGUGUCCGAUGA
RNAcentral lists this ribosomal RNA (1023 nucleotides) under Triticum aestivum (bread wheat). RNAcentral describes it as "partial small subunit ribosomal RNA". The record is from RNAcentral. Lineage: Eukaryota; Viridiplantae; Streptophyta; Magnoliopsida; Poales; Poaceae.